RNAcentral lists this long non-coding RNA (4518 nucleotides) under Sus scrofa (pig). RNAcentral describes it as "lncRNA (ENSSSCG00035040935.1)". The record is from RNAcentral. Lineage: Eukaryota; Metazoa; Chordata; Mammalia; Artiodactyla; Suidae.
GAUCUGGUGUUGCUGUGGCUGUGGUGUAAGCUGGUGGCUGUGGCUCCGAUUUGACCCCUAGACUGGGAACCUCCAUAUGCCACAGGUACAGCGUCCCCCCCACCAAAAAAAACUUUCUUUUUGGCUCUGUCUCUGCCCUUUAAGGACUAAAUGACAGGUGCAGGUGCCAUGCUCCAAGGGCCUGGACUGCAAGUCACAGAUGAGGUUCCAGCUUCAUCAUGCUGGUGACUGUCCAGCAGUGGUACAUAAAUCUCCUCCCCUCCCUGCAUAGCUGCAUUUCCUCAGCGCAACCCCAGGGCUCAGGUGCUCCCUAACCAUCCUUCCUGCCACUGUCUGAGCUCCUAUGAUGGAGCAGAGUUGUGGAAUGUACUGGGAGGGAUGCAGGCUUUGGUUUAGGAAGCCCUGAGCAUGAAUCCCAGCUCCUGGACCUCCCAGCUCUGUGACCUCAGGCUCAUCUGCUAACCUCUCUGAUAUUCAUUGUCCAUGUCUAUGAAGAGGGCAAGGAUGACAGGAGCCCAUGUGGACAAGGUCUGUUUCCUUCCCUCGGUCUCUGACUCCUGAGUGCUUUGACUGGGGAUUUGCAGGUGUUUCUGAGGCAGAAACCCAAAGCGCCUGCCCUAAGUGUGGCGUUCAUCACACCUGCAUCACCCUGAGAUAUUCAACUCUCAGAUUUUUGGAAGCUCCUUUAUGUGGUUGAGAAACUCCUCAAAGGCAGAGUCCAGCCCCUUAAGCUCUGCUGGUGCUUCCGUGAUGGCACCUUCCAUUCUUGCCCCGUCCCUCCUGCAGACAGCAGCUGCAGCGUGAGUCAGUUGCUUAUAUAUAAUUUCUUUUGCAUCUCUCUGCAGAGAAUUCCAUUCAUUUAACCAGUAUUUGCCUCACAUGAGGAAAUGGGAUGCAGAGAAGAAUCAAUUCACAGCCACUGCCCUUAAGAGCUCCUGGGGGAAAAGUGCAAAUAGAUAGUGUGACACAAGGACUAUGCUAUCAGCCUGGAAUGUCCUAGGGUGCCAUGGGAGAAGAGGACUGAGUAGCUCUCUCCUGGGGACCCAGCAGGCAUGAGGUGCCUCUGAACAAAUCUUUUUUUUUUUUUGUCUUUCUGCCUUUUCUAGGGCCUCACCCAUGGCAUAUGGAGGUUCCCAGGCUAGGGGUCUAAUCAGAGCUGUAGCCACCAGCCUACGCUAGAGCCACAGCAACGUGGGAUCCAAGCCGCGUCUGCAACCUACACCACAGCUCACGGCAACGCUGGAUUCUUAACCCACUGAGCAAGGCCAGGGAUCAAACCUGCAACCUCAUGGUUCCUAGUCGGAUUCGUUAACCACUGGACCACGACGGGAACUCCUGAACAAAUCUUAAGAGGUGAGGAGGAGUCCACACUGCAGAAGUCCAGGCAGAGGGGCGGGACAGAGGGAACUUCAGGGUGGAGGCCAGAGCCCUAAGAGGAGGUGACACUGGCUGCCUGCCUGGAGCCGGAACCAAGGGGUGGAGGACCCGCAUUGCCACGUCCUGGUAGUCACCUGCACACUGAUGACCUGAGACCUCUCUCCCAGACCCCCAACUCACAUACCCAUCGCCCACUCCGCAUCCAUCUUUCAGGUGUAAUGGGCAUCCCAGACUCAGCGUAACUAGAAGUCUUAGGCAAACCCUGCCUAGCCCUGCCUAACUCUGUCCCUCCCCAGGCAUGAGGUGACUUUCCCCCACGUUAUGUGGCCCCACCAUUUACCUGGUUACACAGGCCCAAAAUGCAUCACCUUUGACUCUCUUCUUCCCUCGCUCCUCACCUUGUCUGUUUGCAACCUUGACAGCUGUUCCAUCACAGCAUAUCUCGAAAGCCACCACAGGUCCAGAGGGCCCCCAUUUCUCAGCAGGCCUCCCUGCUUCCACUCUGGCCCUGCUGCUAGCACCCUUCCCCACAGUCGGGCAGAAUGACCUUUUAAAAAGUAAAUAAGCCCAUCACACUGUCCUCUUACUCUGAUUUAUUUUUCUUUAUUAGCACCUGACUUUAUAUUGUGAACUUACUUGUCUUCUUUAUCAAUUGUCUUACCCUACUAGACUGUACGUCCUUGAGGAGGGGCCCCUGUCUUAUCAGUCUCAUUCACCCCUCUCUCUCCAGGAUCUAAAACAAGGCCUGGCACCCAGUAGGUGAUCAUCACACAUUAAACUGGUGACGAAAAAAAAAAAUAAGUGAAUGAAUGCAAGUUAAGACUUUGGUGUUGAUUCUGUGGGCAGUGCCAAUCUAGUAGACAUCUUUUAGGAGGUGAGUGACGUGGUCAGCACUUUUAUUUUAGAAAGCCAGCUGGUGGCAGUGUGGAGGCUGGACUUGUAGGAGGAGGCAGCAGAACUAGUUAGAGGCAGUGAAAAUGGUCCAGGAAAUUGAUGCCGAGCCUUAUGUAGAGCUGUGGGGUUGGAGAAGAGGGGCCCAAUGGCAGGCUGCGAAGACCUUUGAGCAUCUUUGGUUGCUAUUGGAACAACUUGAGAUAGCAAUUCUUUUAAAAGAAAAACAGGAGGGGAUGAGCUGGUAUGGGGAGAGACUGGUGACACCCCAUGAUGUUUUCCUCCCCAAGCAAAUGUCAGCCCCCGGAUGCAUGUCCCCUGCAGUGCGUUUAUUUCUCUGAGGUGUGACUCUGCUGCUCCUAGACUCCCAGUUCAGUCUUUCGGUAAGAAAGGAGUCAAGAUGGUAUCAGUGAGUCUGAUUCUUCAUCCUGUAGGUGGGUCCCUGAUCUUACACACCACAAGCCACACUAAGUCACUGAUUCCUCCUUACAAUGGGUACCUUUCUUCAUAUUUAACUCCAAAGGAGACUCACUCUGACAAAUUCUGCUUUCUCCUUUUUUUUUUUUUCCCCCUAAAGAAUGGCUAGGCUCUGCUCAAAUCUCAGAUGGGGUUUACUGAUAAGCUGGGGGUCCAGCAUCUCCCUUAUCACAAGCAUGCACAGGAGCCCUUGUCCUCGCUUGGGUGUCCCCAGCUUCCUAGCCCAGGCAUAGCCAUGUGGUCUGGCACUGCUUCUUGAGAACUUUCUUCUAAAGCUUGAAUCACUCCUUUCUCCCCGGCUCCCCAACCCUCCCCAAGUUUUGAUGCAAAGCCUUUCAUCUCUGAGCAAACACGUCCUUACCCUUCUUGCUGGGGUGUGCCCUUUCUGUCCCUAAGGGAGAGUAGGCCAUCCCAGGCUCUGAAGCCUUGGUCCAAAGUUCCUAAUCCCAUUUGCUGAGCCCUGUGAGGUGCAAAGCUGCACCAGCUGUAUAGCCAGAUGUCCACCUCCCACGGUUCCCUCUCUCCUCCAAAGGUCCAGGCGUCAUGGGAGUGACAUCAAUAGCUACCCUGUAGGGCUUCCUGUGUGCCGGGUACUGGGUUAAGCCCUUCACAUGCAUUGCGUCUAAUCCUCCCCACCCUGCAGGGAUGGUAUUAUGAUCCUGUUCACAGAUGAGGGAGCCGAGGCACUGAAGUGAAGCUUAGGAGUUAAGAGCCUGGGCUGAGAGUCAAGUGGACCCAGGUUUGAAUCCCACCUAGCUGUGGGCCUUACUCUUGUGAAUUAAGAUGCUACUUAAUCCUCUUUUUCUAGAUCUAGAAAAUGGAGAUAACAUAGAGGGUGUUCAUAGGGUUGCUGCAAAAAUUAAAUGAAAUAAAAUGUUAUUUUAUAAGUACGUAAGUACUUGUUUAGUAAAUACUAGAUUUUGUGCUGUCAGUAAAUGAUAGCUCAUUGUACAUACUGUUUCUUUUCUUUUUUUGUCUUUUGCAUUUUUUAGGGCUGCACCUGCUGCACAGGGAGGUUCCCAGGCUAGGGGUCCACUUGGAGCUGUAGUUGCCGGCCUAUACCACAGCCACAGCAAUGCCAGAUCCAAACUGCAUCUGCAGCCUAUACCACAGCUCACGGCCACACUGGGUCCUUAACCCAUGGAGUGAGGCCAGGGAUCGAACCUGCUUCCUCAUGGACCCUAGUCAGAUUCCUUUCCACCGAGCCAUGAUGGGAGCUCCUCAUUGUAGAUACUGUUCAUCAUUAGCACCAUCCUCAGCAGCAUUAUCCCCAUCCUGAGGCUCUAUGACUCCUAAGUAGAUAGAGCCAGGAUUUGAACCUAGCCCUGCCUGGCUCCAAAGCCCACAUUCUUCCUCCUGCCUGGAUGCUCUCCAGUUCAUCUUGCCUAAGACUUUCUGGUCCCUAAGUUUGCCUUCUUGGUCUUUUCUGGGUGUGCCAUUUGUUCCCAUCUGGGCAGUGGGCUCAAGCUAAGGUUCAGCGAUUCCUUGGUCUCUUCCAGCCAAUGACCUCUUUACAGUCAUUGACUGAGAAGUCCCCAGUGACUGGGCUGUUUUGGCAAGAGCUUGACAGUUUUCCCUGAUUGCCAAUGUCAUCUUGCCUACUGUGACAGCCAGGAGGUGUGUGGGGGGUGCUUCCUGUUGUCUAUAUCAGCAGGAUUAUCCAAAGAAAACAGGAGUGCACCGGAAAGGGCUGGUGUGUGUCCCUGUCUUGUGGGGGACUCACUUUGUGAAUGUGGUGACAUUUAUGGAGUCUUUCUCCAGGAAAAUGCACAU